This is a long non-coding RNA of Eucalyptus grandis, 2901 nucleotides long. RefSeq lists it as uncharacterized. The record is from RefSeq and is a predicted model, not a curated record. NCBI's taxonomy places the organism in Eukaryota, Viridiplantae, Streptophyta, Magnoliopsida, Myrtales, Myrtaceae. The transcript has 3 exons.
UCUUCGAAGGAGACUCUCUUUCUCCCUCUUCUCUACAAAAUUCGCUCUCUCGCCUUCGCUCCCAAUUUGCUACUUUCUCCGGCGCAUCGCUGCUGCCUCCGCCUCGGCCAUCGCCUCCGGGAGCCCUGUCGGCGGCUGGUGUUGAGCUAAUUGGGAAAACUGCGUGAAUGGACAUCUUAGUUUUGAUUUGAUUUGCUGUGCAGGCCGAUUAUAAAGACCCCACAUUUCAAGAGAAGUUUGCGUCGACGCUCGUUGAAGGGCUUAGGGAGUUGAAUCUUGAGGUGCGGAAUGGCAAUAUCCUCGCUUUGAAGGACUUCAUCGGCACUGACAAAGUUAGAGAGGUGCUGAAUCUUGACCGUGAAAUGGAAGAUCUUGCUAAGCCACUGAUUGCAGAGCAGUCACUUCCCAUGUUUGGCAGAGGAUACAACUAUGGUGCAGCUUUGGAAGGUUCUUUAAGUAAAGGAAGUGGUAUUAAUGCACAGUGAAGGAAUGCUUGCUGGUGAGAUGAAACAUCGUUCCCUGGCUCUAGUGGAUGACAGCCUACCUGUUGUAGUGAUUACUAUUCAUGAUGCUUGCUUCAGCAAGCAACAAUUAGUUAUUCAGAACCGAAUACCAGAAAAUAUUGUUAUUUUUCUGAAAAAUGACUUUUGAGAAAAUAUUUUUUGGAAAUGACCCAUUUUUCGCGAAAUGAACUAUCCUUAAAGUUGGAUGAAUUUUCUGAGAUAAAAAGGGUUGAGAUAAAAAGGGUUUAGGAUCCUUACCGAAAAAAAAACAAUUAGUUAUUCAGCAACUCUGUGCCAGUAAAUGACGCCUGAUUGUCAUGUGCUUGAGGGGGGAUGCUGUGGCUGUGUCUUUUGGUGGAGCGCGUAGGGUCAUUGAAUUUCCUCAGGUGGAGGACUGUCCUGAGCCUGUAGUCAAUAUAGUUCCUUUGCAGGUACGGGGUACUUAUAAUAAUUUCUUUAUGCUUAUUUAUCAAGAUAAAAUCUCUCUAUGCCUUGCCAAGAUGCAACAUUUUUUUUUUUUUUUUUAUGUUGUACUGAAUGUGCCAUAUCUUGCUGACUGCGAAGUUAUGAUGUAGAUGGGGUGGAACUGGAAGGGAGCAUUUAGUUUUCUGUUUGCUUGACUUGUUUUAUGCUCUUGGUGUUUGUUUUUGGAUUAAGGGUUCCAAAAUUCUCUCUAUAAUUUUGGUUUGGUUCUCAAACAGAUUCUUUUUUUAAGUCUCAACUAGCACAAACAAAACCAAUUUUAUUGAUUGAGCCGUAUCAUUAUGCUGUUCUAAUUAUUUUGUUCUUAUAAAGUACCUUAACAUUACUGUUUCCUCUUUUCAGAUAGUCUGUUUUGUUUUAGUGGAUUUGCUGAUUCGCUGGACAUGGCAUAAUUUUUCACUUUUGGGGUGCAGUUGGCGUAUCCAGCCUAAGAACCUCGCAAAAAUUGUGACAGCUGAGCACAAGCGAUUUCUUCCGAUUUUAUUCAUCUGGCAGCGAAAUGUAUUAUGUCAUGAGAAUAUAAAGCAAUUUUGCAGCAGAGUUUACAUUCUACUGAUCACAUUGAUUCACUAAUACUUGUAUUUUCUAAUCAAUUAGGAAAAACUGCCGUAACCCAACUUUUUGCACGUUCACAGCUUGUUAUGCAUUCACUUAUUAAUCUAUACCUUGAAGUUGUAAUCAUGGUGCCCGAUUGUUAAUUGACAUUCAAGAAUGAAUACAACUUAGUCUCAUCUUGGAUGCCAUGCAAAUUAGAGACAAUAUGUAGUUCCUUAGCGCCUUUAUUAAAAGUCAAGAAAAUGGUUAGUUAUCGUAUUUAGCAUUUUUUAGGGUGUGGCUAUCCUCGGGUAAUACCAUAUUUGGAGACUCCAUUUUUACAGUGGUCUUUGUUUGAAGUAUCUGUUGCUGCAUCAUUAGAUGCAAAAGGAGUGGUGAAGGGAAGGGGAAAAUUGCAUGCUUAUUCUAUAAAUGAAAAUAUCUUCAUGUCAACUCCCUCCAAAGUAGUUGUUCGUGGUCUCUUACUUUGACAUGUUGUUACCUGAGUUCAUUCUAUUAGUCAAUCGUGUUACAAGAUAAAAUGCGACUCUCACUAGAUACCAGACUGCGCUGUUAUUUUGUCUAACACACUGUUACGUGUUUCUUCCCUACUCAUUUUUCCCUUUUCAGGGUGUGGGGGUUGCGGGCACCCUGUGGGACAUUUGCAGCUCUGUCAACAUGGACCAAUUGCCACUUCUGGCACAAAGCGCAUAUCCAUGACUGUACAAGGCAAAAGUGGCAGUGCUCUUCCACCAUGUAGCCGGCGAGAACGGGACACUUGGACAGACAUAAGUACAAUCUUGUUUUGAACCCACACGUAAAGUUUUCGAGCAAGAAUUUGCAAGAGGACAAUGGAAAGCAAUACCGAAAACAACAAAUAGGGGAAAGGGCGAAAGGGGCCUUGGAACAACAAUGUUGCAAGGGAAGCCACUGAGAGCAAAGCAGCGAGCAUCAUGAGGAUGUGAAAUGCUCGGGCACAACAAGCGGGAGCGAAUGAUAGAUGAGCAGCAAGUGCAAAGGAGCUAUAGAACAGAAUACAGAAGAUGGCAACAGAGGUGGUAAAAGAGUGGGUGUCUAAAGGGGACUCUAGUUUCCCUUGAUAUUUCACCUCAAUGAAGUUGAGCAGCACGGGAACGAUAAAGGUGAGAACCGCGUGGUGAGAAGUGGAGGCAGGGAAACCUCGGACAUUUCUGUGGGGACAACUGCCGAGCGGCAUUGGAAACUGGAAUAAGUUUCCAGAUUAUCCUUUAUCCUAUGUACAAGAUGAUAUCAAAGUAAUCAGAUAGAAAGAUGGGCUAGUAGAACAGGGAAAAUACUAAUGCAUUAGAGUGGGAGCAAAUCUUGCCUUUUAUAAUGUGAGUGGUUGAGCACUGCACUAGUA